Daucus carota subsp. sativus is the source of this 107-nucleotide non-coding RNA. The record is from Rfam. Lineage: Eukaryota; Viridiplantae; Streptophyta; Magnoliopsida; Apiales; Apiaceae.
AUUCCAUAGUGAGGAAACUUCCUAAGCAUCUCCUUGUAACGCUCCCAAGCUUCACAUAAAGAUUCACAUGACUGCUAAGAAAAUUGAGUAAGAGCAUUCCUGAUUGC